RNAcentral lists this ribosomal RNA (382 nucleotides) under Lodderomyces parapsilosis. Its description in RNAcentral is "eukaryotic LSU rRNA". It matches the Rfam family "Eukaryotic large subunit ribosomal RNA", at positions 79 to 458 of the family's 3401-position model. The record is from RNAcentral. Lineage: Eukaryota; Fungi; Ascomycota; Pichiomycetes; Serinales; Debaryomycetaceae.
UUUAGUAGCGGCGAGUGAGCGGCAAAAGCUCAAAUUUGAAAUCUGGCACUUUCAGUGUCCGAGUUGUAAUUUGAAGAAGGUAUCUUUGGGUCUGGCUCUUGUCUAUGUUUCUUGGAACAGAACGUCACAGAGGGUGAGAAUCCCGUGCGAUGAGAUGACCCAGACCUAUGUAAAGUUCCUUCGAAGAGUCGAGUUGUUUGGGAAUGCAGCUCUAAGUGGGUGGUAAAUUCCAUCUAAAGCUAAAUAUUGGCGAGAGACCGAUAGCGAACAAGUACAGUGAUGGAAAGAUGAAAAGAACUUUGAAAAGAGAGUGAAAAAGUACGUGAAAUUGUUGAAAGGGAAGGGCUUGAGAUCAGACUUGGUAUUUUGUAUGUUACUCUUU